This 902-nucleotide long non-coding RNA is filed under the name Marmota monax (woodchuck). The record is from RNAcentral. Lineage: Eukaryota; Metazoa; Chordata; Mammalia; Rodentia; Sciuridae.
UCAAAACACCUAAAUUGUACUUUAAGGUUUAUAUCUUUACCAGUUAUAUGGCCCUAGGGAAUUCACUUAACUUCACUUGCAAAAGGAAGAAAGAUAGAAAAUGCUACUCAAGAUUAUGCAUCCAUGGAUUAUUUGCCUAAGUGAGUACUUCUGAGGCUGAUAGCUUGAAGUAACUGUAUUAGUCUGUUUUGUGUUACUACAAUAAAACAUCUAAGGUAAAAUAUUUUUAUGAAGAAAAGAUGUUUAUUUACCUCACAAUUUGGGAGGUUCAAGGGUGUUUUGUUAGCUUUUUCAUCACUGUGACCAAAAACCUGACAAGAUCAACUUAAGGAGGAAACAUUUAUUUGGGCUCAUGGUUUCAGAGAUUCAGCCCAUGGUCAGCAGACUCCCCAGCUCUGGGCCCAAGAUAAGGCAGAACAUCAUGGCAGAGGGCAUGGUGGAAGGAAAUACCUCAGACAUGAAUAUCAGGAAGCAGAUAAAGGGAACUGUGAUCACUAGGGACAAAAUAUGCUCCACCCAAAAGAUAUGCCCCCAGUGACCUGCCACACCCUACAUACCCCAGUUACUGCCCAGUUAAUCCAUAUCAGUGGAUUAAUGCACAGACUAGGUUAAGGUUCUCAUAACCUCAUCAUUUCACCUCAGAACUUUCUUGCAUUGUCUCAUACAUGAGGUUUUGGGGACACCCCAUCUCUAAACCAUAACAGAGGGCCAUAGCAAUAGCAUCAGCUCAACUCUGCUCCUCUUGGCUGCAUAACAUCAAGUCAGGUUGAUGGCCAGACAGAAAGCCAGAGAGGCUGGGGUCCCAAGAUGCCUUCUGAGGGAUAUGCCCCCGAUGACCAAAGGGCCUCUUACUAGGCUCCACCAUUUAAAAAUCCACCACCUCCCACCACCACACUAAGGAC